RNAcentral lists this ribosomal RNA (199 nucleotides) under Proteus mirabilis. RNAcentral's name for it is "16S ribosomal RNA". It matches the Rfam family "Bacterial small subunit ribosomal RNA", at positions 333 to 524 of the family's 1533-position model. The record is from RNAcentral. Lineage: Bacteria; Pseudomonadati; Pseudomonadota; Gammaproteobacteria; Enterobacterales; Morganellaceae.
CAACUCCUACGGGAGGCAGCAGUGGGGAAUAUUGCACAAUGGGCGCAAGCCUGAUGCAGCCAUGCCGCGUGUAUGAAGAAGGCCUUAGGGUUGUAAAGUACUUUCAGCGGGGAGGAAGGUGAUAAGGUUAAUACCCUUAUCAAUUGACGUUACCCGCAGAAGAAGCACCGGCUAACUCCGUGCCAGCAGCCGCGGUAAU